Molecule: ribosomal RNA, 442 nt
Filed under: uncultured bacterium
Lineage: Bacteria
Description: bacterial SSU rRNA
Rfam family: Bacterial small subunit ribosomal RNA
Source: RNAcentral
GAUGAACGCUGGCGGCGUGCCUAAUACAUGCAAGUCGAGCGGUAAGGCCACUUCGGUGGUACACGAGCGGCGGACGGCUGAGUAACACGUAGGAACGUACCCCAAACUGAGGGAUAAGCACCAGAAAUGGUGUCUAAUACCGCAUGUGCUCUAAGGGGUAAAGCUUCGGCGGUUUGGGAACGGCCUGCGCAUGAUUAGCUUGUUGGUGAGGUAAUGGCUCACCAAGGCGACGAUCAUUAGCUGGUCUGAGAGGAUGAUCAGCCAGACUGGGACUGAGAACGGCCCAGACUCCUACGGGAGGCAGCAGUAGGGAAUUUUCCACAAUGGACGAAAGUCUGAUGGAGCAACGCCGCGUGCAGGAUGAAGGCUUUCGGGUCGUAAACUGCUUUUAUCUGUGAAGAUUAUGACGGUAGCAGAUGAAUAAGGAUCGGCUAACUCCGUG